Molecule: ribosomal RNA, 497 nt
Filed under: uncultured bacterium
Lineage: Bacteria
Description: partial 16S ribosomal RNA
Rfam family: Bacterial small subunit ribosomal RNA
Source: RNAcentral
GAUGAACGCUGGCGGCGUGCCUAAUACAUGCAAGUCGAGCGAACAGACGAGUAGCUUGCUCCUCUGACGUUAGCGGCGGACGGGUGAGUAACACGUGGAUAACCUACCUAUAAGACUGGGAUAACUUCGGGAAACCGGAGCUAAUACCGGAUAAUAUAUUGAACCGCAUGGUUCAAUAGUGAAAGACGGUUUUGCUGUCACUUAUAGAUGGAUCCGCGCCGCAUUUGCUAGUUGGUAAGGGAACGGCUUACCAAGGCAACGAUGCGUAGCCGACCUGAGAGGGUGAUCGGCCACACUGGAACUGAGACACGGUCCAGACUCCUACGGGAGGCAGCAGUAGGGAAUCUUCCGCAAUGGGCGAAAGCUUGACGGAGCAACGCCGCGUGAGUGAUGAAGGUCUUCGGAUCGUAAAACUCUGUUAUUAGGGAAGAACAAAUGUGUAAGUAACUAUGCACGUCUUGACGGUACCUAAUCAGAAAGCCACGGCUAACUACGUG